AGUGAACGCUGGCGGUAGGCCUAACACAUGCAAGUCGAACGGCAGCACAGUAAGAGCUUGCUCUUACGGGUGGCGAGUGGCGGACGGGUGAGGAAUACAUCGGAAUCUACUUUUUCGUGGGGGAUAACGUAGGGAAACUUACGCUAAUACCGCAUACGACCUAUGGGUGAAAGCAGGGGAUCUUCGGACCUUGCGCGAUUGAAUGAGCCGAUGUCGGAUUAGCUAGUUGGCGGGGUAAAGGCCCACCAAGGCGACGCUCCGUAGCUGGUCUGAGAGGAUGAUCAGCCACACUGGAACUGAGACACGGCCCAGACUCCUACGGGAGGCAGCAGUGGGGAAUAUUGGGCGAUGGGCGCAAGCCUGAUCCAGCCAUACCGCGUGGGUGAAGAAGGCCUUCGGGUUGUAAAGCCCUUUUGUUGGGAGAGAAAAGCAGCAGGUUAAUACCCCGCUGUUCUGACGGUACCCAAAGAAUAAGCACCGGCUAACUUCGUG
This 492-nucleotide ribosomal RNA is filed under the name uncultured bacterium. Its description in RNAcentral is "partial 16S ribosomal RNA". It matches the Rfam family "Bacterial small subunit ribosomal RNA", at positions 29 to 507 of the family's 1533-position model. The record is from RNAcentral.